Molecule: microRNA, 22 nt
Filed under: Xenoturbella bocki
Lineage: Eukaryota; Metazoa; Xenacoelomorpha; Xenoturbellidae
Description: xbo-miR-2013
Source: miRBase by way of RNAcentral
UGCAGCAUAUUGCAGUGGUGUC